AUCUCUUCCUUUCUCUCUCUAAACUACCUCCAUCCCCCCAAUAAGAUCUUAUAUGAUCUGCAGAAUCUUCAUGGCAUACCAAAUCUCACAACAGAAUAAACAAUGUUAGAGUACAUCUUUUUCAACUGGUAAUCUCCUCCUCCUCCUCCUUUUAAUCCCCAAACAGAUCUGAGCAAAUUAAACAAGACAAAUUGGUUUCUGCUCGUAACUGAACCAUCAGACAAUCAAUAGUGAGCAAAUAACUUCCAAACCACUAAACAUCUGAUCUAUUAAAGGUAAAGACAGAUUAUACUACAGUCUACUAAAAGGAAUCAAAUUAAGUACUAAUCACCGUUGUUGCGAACAAGGUAAUCUCUUUCGGAAGAAGAUAAGAGCGAAUGAACAUCGUGAACGUCAACUUCGACAGUAUCCGCCAUUGUUAGAGCACUGAAGAAAUUAGAAAUUCGAUUGUGCCGAUGAUGUUGCAGUUUGGGGUUUUAUUAAGCACAAAAUGUGGGGCGGCACUGGUGGUGGAGCUAAGGCAGUGGUGGAGAUGGUGGCACUUCGGUGGUGUAUAGAGAGAGAAAGUGCACUGGUGUGUGUGUGCUAGUGUGUGUUAUAUAUAUGUAAUUAUAUUUAUAUAUGUUAUAUAUUAAAGCUUUAUGCAUUA
This 649-nucleotide long non-coding RNA is filed under the name Helianthus annuus (common sunflower). Its description in RNAcentral is "hypothetical non coding rna". The record is from RNAcentral. Lineage: Eukaryota; Viridiplantae; Streptophyta; Magnoliopsida; Asterales; Asteraceae.